Peromyscus maniculatus bairdii (prairie deer mouse) is the source of this 127-nucleotide small nucleolar RNA. Lineage: Eukaryota; Metazoa; Chordata; Mammalia; Rodentia; Cricetidae. The record is from Ensembl.
GUGCACAUUUUAUUGUCUUUUCUUUACAUCAAGAGAAAAGAUAUUUCUGAUGUGCUAAACAAACUUUUGGAGGUAAAUUAGCAGCAUGACUACUUCUGCCACUGCUGUCAGUCACCUUCAGACAAGU